AACACGCGCUGAUGAUAGUGUGGGGUCUCCCCAUGCGAAAGUAAGUCAUCGCCAGGG
RNAcentral lists this ribosomal RNA (57 nucleotides) under Legionella israelensis DSM 19235. Lineage: Bacteria; Pseudomonadati; Pseudomonadota; Gammaproteobacteria; Legionellales; Legionellaceae. The record is from RNAcentral.